ACUCUGCAUGGACAUGAGGGCCCCUGCUCAGCUCUUUGGACUCCUUCUGCUCUGGCUUCCAGGUGCCAGAUGUGACAUCCAGAUGACCCAGUCUCCGUCCUCCCUCUCUGCAUCUCUGGGAGACCGAGUCACCAUCACUUGCAAAGCAAGUCAGGGCAUUAGCAAUUAUUUAAACUGGUAUCAACAGAAACCAGGGGAAGCUCCUAAGCUUCUGAUUUAUUAUACAAAUAGUUUGGCAGAUGGGGUCCCAUCGAGGUUCAGUGGCAGUGGGUCUGGGACAGAUUAUUCUCUCACCAUCAGCAGCCUCAAGUCUGAAGACAUUGCAACUUAUUACUGUCUACAGUAUGAUAAGUAUCCUCCCACAGUGAUACAAUUCAUAACAUAA
Molecule: non-coding RNA, 385 nt
Organism: Microtus oregoni (creeping vole)
Lineage: Eukaryota; Metazoa; Chordata; Mammalia; Rodentia; Cricetidae
Source: the annotation of a RefSeq genome assembly